Molecule: ribosomal RNA, 385 nt
Filed under: uncultured bacterium
Lineage: Bacteria
Description: bacterial SSU rRNA
Rfam family: Bacterial small subunit ribosomal RNA
Source: RNAcentral
CUGUGAAGAUGAUGACGGUAGCAGAGGAGGAAGCUCCGGCUAACUACGUGCCAGCAGCCGCGGUAAUACGUAGGGAGCGAGCGUUGUCCGGAUUUACUGGGUGUAAAGGGUGCGUAGGCGGCUGUGCAAGUCAGUAGUGAAAUCCAUGGGCUUAACCCAUGAACUGCUAUUGAAACUGCACAGCUUGAGUGAAGUAGAGGUAGGCGGAAUUCCCGGUGUAGCGGUGAAAUGCGUAGAGAUCGGGAGGAACACCAGUGGCGAAGGCGGCCUACUGGGCUUUAACUGACGCUGAGGCACGAAAGCGUGGGUAGCAAACAGGAUUAGAUACCCUGGUAGUCCACGCUGUAAACGAUGAUUACUAGGUGUGGGGGGACUGAACCCUUCC